AGCGGCACCAGGGGUCCUUCCUCUCCCAUUUACUGAAGGUGUAGGCAGAGAAGGGGCAGGGGUGACAGGGCAUGGGUGUGGGGGGAGGGGAUUUGGGUGGGGGAGGUGUAAGUGUGGGGGGUGUUUGCCAACAGAGCCGCUCUCUGAGCUCCAAUGACAAGGGUCCAUCUACUUUGAGCAGAGGAUGCUGGAAAUUGUGGGUAAAAAGGGCUGGGAAGCCUUAAAAAUGCCCGGAGACACUCAAGGAAGCUUGGGACCAGAGCAGGAAGGACUCGGUUGGACCUUCCUGACCAGGACCCCGGGGACCACCGCCCAGACUCGCAGCUUCCUCCUCCCCUUUCUUGUUGGCCUUUGUCCAUGGAAACGACGUCAUGGGGCUGGCGUGGGGAAAGCCCAGAACCUUUUUUUAAUGAGAAAGGUGGGCCAGAUCAGGCAAGGGAGGGGGGCUUAGUGGAGGAACAUUGGGUUGGGAGUCAGGAAAACUGAGCCCCCUGGCCUCAGAGACCCCGGGCGCUGACAAGAUGCCAUUCUUCACCAAGUCUUUGGAGGGAGGAGGGCCCUAAAUAGGCUUGGACCCGCCUGAUGGAAGAGCAAACUGAGCUGAGCACAGCCCCUGGCACGUGGUGGGUGACUGCCGGAGAAGGGGGGCGCAUGCAACCCUGGGGUCCCCACAGAAAGCUGCUCCAGGGCACAGACUUGGGGGCUUCAACUACUCAUCUAUGAUGUGAGUUAAGGCUGCUCAGGACCCUCCUUCCCAGCUGUCUGAUGGCCCAGGUCGUCGGCCCCAGGCACUGGCUGAAUUCUGAGAACAGGAGUCAAAGGAGGCAGCCAGGGGCCCAGGGAGAGACCCAGCACAGCAAGGCCAGGGCCCCCCGGGGCUUCAGGAGCCAGGAGGGCAACGCGCCACUGCCAUCGGCGGUGAGCCCAGCACAUCGUGGCAGAGAGGGGGCUUAGAGGUCACCAGCCCUCGGGGAGGAGGACUGAGGCAGAAGGGGAGCAGUGUCCAAAGGGGGCAUAAUGUGCAGGCUGGCUCUGGAGGCCCUCGGGGCCAGCCGGGGUCUUAGUGCAAUGAAGGAGGCAGAAGGCAGGAGGACCACCAGGAAGAUGGUCAAAGGUGGACUCUCUCAUCUCUGGGCCUCUCAGCCCUUAAAUACCUC
RNAcentral lists this long non-coding RNA (1157 nucleotides) under Sarcophilus harrisii (Tasmanian devil). RNAcentral describes it as "lncRNA (ENSSHAG00000026237.1)". The record is from RNAcentral. Lineage: Eukaryota; Metazoa; Chordata; Mammalia; Dasyuromorphia; Dasyuridae.